GGAGCGGCCGUGGCGGUGUUCGCUUUCUAAGCGAAUGGUCCUGGGUUCGAUUCCCAUCUGCUCCC
This 65-nucleotide transfer RNA is filed under the name Culex quinquefasciatus (southern house mosquito). RNAcentral's name for it is "tRNA-Arg". Lineage: Eukaryota; Metazoa; Arthropoda; Insecta; Diptera; Culicidae. The record is from RNAcentral.